RNAcentral lists this ribosomal RNA (3455 nucleotides) under Pelagicola sp. LXJ1103. RNAcentral describes it as "bacterial LSU rRNA". It matches the Rfam family "Bacterial large subunit ribosomal RNA". The record is from RNAcentral. Lineage: Bacteria; Pseudomonadati; Pseudomonadota; Alphaproteobacteria; Rhodobacterales; Roseobacteraceae.
GAUCAAAUCAAGCGCGAAAAGGGCGUUUGGUGAAUGCCUUGGCAGUAAGAGGCGAUGAAAGACGUGAUACUCUGCGAUAAGCCAUGGGGAGCUGAGAAUAAGCUUUGAUCCAUGGAUUUCUGAAUGGGGCAACCCACCUGAUACUGUGUUAUUACUAUCCUUCGGGAUGGCUAAUAAUGCGGUAAAACAGGUACUUAUAGACUGAAUAUAUAGGUUUAUAAGAGCAAACCCGGGGAACUGAAACAUCUAAGUACCCGGAGGAAAGGAAAUCAAUUGAUACUCCCCUAGUAGCGGCGAGCGAACGGGGACCAGCCGAGCCUUGAGUGUGAAUAGAACGUGUUGGGAAGCACGGCCAUAGUGGGUGAUAGCCCCGUAUAUGAAGCAUGAUAGGACGUAUUAAGUAGGGCGGAACACGUGAAAUUCUGUCUGAAGAUCGGAGGACCACCUUCGAAGGCUAAGUACUCCUUACUGACCGAUAGUGAACCAGUACCGUGAGGGAAAGGUGAAAAGCACCCCGACGAGGGGAGUGAAACAGUACCUGAAACCGAACGCCUACAAUCAGUCGGAGCUUGACUGGACUCUAAUGACAAUCUGCUUCAUCACACAUGUGAAAACACAUGGGGGAUGAAACAUGUCAGAUCUAGCAUUCAUUACGGACGGAACCUUUGGGGUUCUGUUCAUUCUUGCCGGCAUCAUUGAUGCAGGUGUGAAUCACUGUGGUAAUGAAGGGUGCCUGGCGAAAAAUGAUGUCCAAGCCUAUAACAGCAUCUCUGUUGGAGCUACGACGUUCCAAGAGAAUGAGGUUGGCGAGGAAAUCUACUUUCGCCGUGACACCAGUGUCGCUUCUGGUCCGUUUCAAUGGAUCUAUGGCGCAUCUGCAACCAGCGAUGGAGAGCUUUGGGCUGGCCUUGGCCAAGCCCUGACAUACUCCACACGCAAUGAUCGGUUUUAUACUCAACUACACUCAAUGAUUGGCCUUUAUGAAAAGGGCAGUGGAGUGGAUUUAGGUGGACCGAUCGAAUUUAGAUCUGGGAUCGAGUUCGGAUAUCAAAACAAAGUUGGCACGCGUAUGGCCAUCAGCUUUGAUCACCGCUCGAAUGCAGGGAUCUACAGCCUGAACCCCGGUCUUGAGACCGUUCAGUUCAGAGUGUCUAUCCCAACAAAAUGAUUGUUAUCAGUGUCCAGUCUUGUGACGGCGUACCUUUUGUAUAAUGGGUCAUCGACUUAGUGUAUCUAGCAAGCUUAAGCCGUUAGGUGUAGGCGUAGCGAAAGCGAGUCUUAAUAGGGCGAAUGAGUUAGAUGCAUUAGACCCGAAACCGAGUGAUCUAGGCAUGACCAGGUUGAAGGUUAGGUAACACUAACUGGAGGACCGAACCCACACCUGUUGAAAAAGGUCGGGAUGAGUUGUGCCUAGGGGUGAAAGGCCAAUCAAACUCGGAGAUAGCUGGUUCUCUGCGAAAACUAUUUAGGUAGUGCGUCAUCCGAAUACCCUCGGGGGUAGAGCACUGGAUGGGUAAUGGGGCCCCACAGGCUUACUGAUCCUAACCAAACUCCGAAUACCGAGAAGUACUAGAUGGCAGACAGACUGCGGAUGCUAACGUCCGUAGUCGAGAGGGAAACAACCCUGACCUACAGCUAAGGCCCCUAAUUCAUGGCUAAGUGGGAAAGCAGGUGGGACGACCAAAACAACCAGGAGGUUGGCUUAGAAGCAGCCAUCCUUUAAAGAUAGCGUAACAGCUCACUGGUCUAAAUAAGUUGUCCUGCGGCGAAGAUGUAACGGGGCUCAAGCCAUGAGCCGAAGCUUAGGAUGUGCAGUAAUGCACGUGGUAGCAGAGCGUAGUGUGACAUAGUUCCAUGUCUCUUUAGUGACCUCGGUCAUUACGGAGACAAGGAGCUUUCGAUGAAGCGGGCGCGUGAGCGAUCCCGUGGAGAGAUCACUAGUGAGAAUGAUGACAUGAGUAGCGACAAACAGUGUGAGAGACACUGUCGCCGAAAGUCCAAGGGUUCCUGCUUAAAGCUAAUCUGAGCAGGGUAAGCCGACCCCUAAGGCGAGGCCGAAAGGCGUAGUCGAUGGGAACCAGGUUAAUAUUCCUGGGCCAGAUGGAAGUGACGGAUCGUGAAGAUUGUUCACCCUUAUUGGAUUGGGUGGGCCGUUAAUCGGUUCCUGGAAAUAGCUCCAUCAUGAGAUCGUACCCUAAACCAACACAGGUGGACUGGUAGAGAAUACCAAGGCGCUUGAGAGAACGAUGUUGAAGGAACUCGGCAAAAUACCUCCGUAAGUUCGCGAGAAGGAGGCCCAGUUUCUACGCAAGUAUUGGCUGGGGGCACAAACCAGGGGGUGGCGACUGUUUACUAAAAACACAGGGCUCUGCGAAGUCGCAAGACGACGUAUAGGGUCUGACGCCUGCCCGGUGCCUGAAGGUUAAAAGGAGGGGUGAGAGCUCUGAAUUGAAGCCCAGGUAAACGGCGGCCGUAACUAUAACGGUCCUAAGGUAGCGAAAUUCCUUGUCGGGUAAGUUCCGACCUGCACGAAUGGCGUAACGACUUCCCCGCUGUCUCCAACAUCGACUCAGCGAAAUUGAAUUACCUGUCAAGAUGCAGGUUUCCCGCGGUUAGACGGAAAGACCCCGUGCACCUUUACUACAGCUUCGCACUGGCUUCAGACACAACAUGUGCAGGAUAGGUGGUAGACUUUGAAGCAGGGACGCUAGUCUCUGUGGAGUCGCCCUUGAGAUACCACUCUUGUUCUGUUUGAAGUCUAACCGCGGUCCGUUAUCCGGAUCCGGGACCCUGCGUGGCGGGUAGUUUGACUGGGGCGGUCGCCUCCUAAAGCGUAACGGAGGCGCGCGAAGGUUGGCUCAGAGCGGUCGGAAAUCGCUCGUUGAGUGCAAUGGCAGAAGCCAGCCUGACUGCGAGACUGACAAGUCGAGCAGAGUCGAAAGACGGCCAUAGUGAUCCGGUGGUCCCGAGUGGAAGGGCCAUCGCUCAACGGAUAAAAGGUACGCCGGGGAUAACAGGCUGAUACUGCCCAAGAGUCCAUAUCGACGGCAGUGUUUGGCACCUCGAUGUCGGCUCAUCUCAUCCUGGGGCUGGAGCAGGUCCCAAGGGUACGGCUGUUCGCCGUUUAAAGAGGUACGUGAGCUGGGUUUAGAACGUCGUGAGACAGUUCGGUCCCUAUCUGCCGUGGGUGUAGGAUACUUGAGAGGAGUUGCCCCUAGUACGAGAGGACCGGGGUGAACGUUCCACUGGUGGACCAGUUGUCGUGCCAACGGCAGUGCUGGGUAGCUAUGAACGGACAGGAUAACCGCUGAAGGCAUCUAAGCGGGAAGCCCCCCUCAAAACAAGGUAUCCCUGAGAGCCGUGGUAGACCACCACGUCGAUAGGCCAGAGAUGUAAGCGCAGCAAUGCGUUCAGUUGACUGGUACUAAUUGCUCGAUAGGCUUGAUUUGAUCCAG